CACACUGAGCCUUUGACAGGAUAUUAUUGUAUAGAAACUCAGGGUGAGAGCUACAGAAAAGCCAAACAGCACUCCACCUGCGUUCCUGGACAAUACAUCUACCAGAAUGGAACAUCAUUGUUGGAUACAAUGUGUAAGGAUUGCUCAGAGGAGACGUAUUCAGAUGGUUUAUUUAUGCACUGCAAACCACAUACAAAAUGUGAGUCUUUGGGGCAGAUAACAAUCACAAGGAACACAGUCGAGUGAUGCAGUGUGCAGCCAUAAACCGUCACAUCUGGGCCUCAUCAUUGGGAUUUUGGUGCCAUCUUUAUUGGUGCUGGUCAUCUUGAGCGUUUUACUUUAGCAGCGUUUGAUACGGUCAACCACAAGACUCUCUUGUCCACCCUCAGGAGUCUUGGGAUUUGUGGAUCAGCUUGGGAAUGGUUCGCUUCCUACCUGGAAGGACACUCAUAUCAGAUACCACAGCUUCUGAUCGGAUCUCAGCAUGUCUGGCAGAAAUUUCAUCAUGGAUGACUGCUCAUCAGUUAAAGCUCAAUCCUAGCAAAACUGAACUGCUGUUCAUCCCAGGUGAUUCAUCCCCAGGUCAUGACCUUGCUAUAUCCUUGCACAACGAUCUGAGCUCCUCUUCAGCCACAGCUCGCAACCUUGGGGUAACCAUGGACAAUCAACUGUCAUUUUCCUCUCAUGUUGCUCAUGUCGGUUUCUUCUCUACAACGUUAGACGGAUUCGGCCAUUUUUGUCCACAGAGGCUGCUCAGGUACUUGUUCAGUCUCUUGUCAUUUCAAGACUGGAUUACUGCAACGCACUGCUGGCAGGUCUAGCUAUGAACACAAUCCGUCCUCUGCAAAUGAUCCAAAAUGCAGCUGCCCGGCUUGUUUUCAACCUGCCAAAGUUCUCGCAUACCACUCUGCUGCUGCAACCCCUCAAAGAUUCAAAACACUGAUGCUGGCCUACAAAGCCAAAAAUGGACCAGCUCCCACAACUUCUGACACUUUCAUUGUAACUUUGAACAAAUGUUUUAAACUCAUGGUAUCUUAAGUACGUAACCUAGUGAGCCAGCAUCAAUGUAUUCAAUGUUAGAGAUUUAAGCACUUACGUACGUCACUCUGGAUAAGGGCGUCUGCCAAAUGCUGAAAAUGUAAAUGUAAAUAUGGUGGUCCAGUGGCAAGAUUCUGUGUUCAAUUCCCAGACAGGGAAUCAACCCAUUUACUGAGGGGUUAAUUAUUAGUAAUUAAAUAGGAGGAUCAGGAAAAGCAUCCGGCAUCAAACAUGUGGAAAAUAAUAUGCGGAUGUAUUUAAGUAUUGUUAUAAAAUAGGUUUCCUUUUAAUCUAAUUGGAAACUGAGUGGGGUUAGUCAGCAGGUGAAACAGAGCUACUAGUGUGUAGGAGAAAGAACCAUAACCAUUUUUCUUACUUCUGUUUUGUGGUCAUCUCUUCCAACCCCUUCAUAUUAAAGAGUCUUCCAUUUUCCCUGCUCUCACAAUUCUGCUUAACAUUAUAAAUCAUUA
This is a long non-coding RNA of Tachysurus vachellii, 1508 nucleotides long. RefSeq lists it as uncharacterized. The record is from RefSeq and is a predicted model, not a curated record. The transcript is spliced from 5 exons. NCBI's taxonomy places the organism in Eukaryota, Metazoa, Chordata, Actinopteri, Siluriformes, Bagridae.